AUCCAGAUGACGAGUCCAAAAUAGGACGAACAGUGCAUCCUGAAU
Molecule: non-coding RNA, 45 nt
Filed under: Schistosoma curassoni
Lineage: Eukaryota; Metazoa; Platyhelminthes; Trematoda; Strigeidida; Schistosomatidae
Source: RNAcentral